UACGAAGGGGGCUAGCGUUGUUCGGAAUUACUGGGCGUAAAGCGCACGUAGGCGGACUAUUAAGUCAGGGGUGAAAUCCCGGAGCUCAACUCCGGAACUGCCUUUGAUACUGGUAGCCUAGAGAUCGGAAGAGGUGAGUGGAAUUCCCAGUGUAGAGGUGAAAUUCGUAGAUAUUGGGAAGAACACCGGCGGCGAAAGCGGUUCUCUGGAUCGAUACUGACGCUAAGACGCGAAAGCGUGGGGAGCAAACAGG
RNAcentral lists this ribosomal RNA (253 nucleotides) under uncultured bacterium. Its description in RNAcentral is "partial 16S ribosomal RNA". It matches the Rfam family "Bacterial small subunit ribosomal RNA", at positions 524 to 776 of the family's 1533-position model. The record is from RNAcentral.